RNAcentral lists this ribosomal RNA (468 nucleotides) under uncultured bacterium. Its description in RNAcentral is "partial 16S ribosomal RNA". It matches the Rfam family "Bacterial small subunit ribosomal RNA", at positions 28 to 507 of the family's 1533-position model. The record is from RNAcentral.
GACGAACGCUGGCGGCGUGCUUAACACAUGCAAGUCGAACGGAAAGGCCCUGCUUUUGUGGGGUGCUCGAGUGGCGAACGGGUGUGUAACACGUGAGUAACCUGCCCUUGACUUUGGGAUAACUUCAGGAAACUGGGGCUAAUACCGGAUAGGAGCUCCUGCUGCAUGGUGGGGGUUGGAAAGUUUCGGCGGUUGGGGAUGGACUCGCGGCUUAUCAGCUUGUUGGUGGGGUAGUGGCUUACCAAGGCUUUGACGGGUAGCCGGCCUGAGAGGGUGACCGGCCACAUUGGGACUGAGAUACGGCCCAGACUCCUACGGGAGGCAGCAGUGGGGAAUAUUGCACAAUGGGCGGAAGCCUGAUGCAGCAACGCCGCGUGCGGGAUGACGGCCUUCGGGUUGUAAACCGCUUUCGCCUGUGACGAAGCGUGAGUGGCGGUAAUGGGUAAAGAAGCACCGGCUAACUACGUG